UACGAAGGUGGCAAGCGUUGUUCGGAUUUACUGGGCGUACAGGGAGCGUAGGCGGUUGGGUAAGCCCUCCGUGAAAUCUCCGGGCCUAACCCGGAAAGGGCGGAGGGGACUGCUCGGCUAGAGGAUGGGAGAGGAGCGCGGAAUUCCCGGUGUAGCGGUGAAAUGCGUAGAGAUCGGGAGGAAGGCCGGUGGCGAAGGCGGCGCUCUGGAACAUUUCUGACGCUGAGGCUCGAAAGCGUGGGGAGCAAACAGGAUUAGAUACCUGGUAGUCCACGCCUUAAACGAUGAAUACUAAGUGUCGGCGGGUUACCGCCGGUGCCGCAGCUAACGCAGUAAGUAUUCCGCCUGGGAAGUACGGCCGCAAGGUUGAA
This 371-nucleotide ribosomal RNA is filed under the name uncultured Nitrospira sp. RNAcentral's name for it is "bacterial SSU rRNA". It matches the Rfam family "Bacterial small subunit ribosomal RNA", at positions 524 to 898 of the family's 1533-position model. Lineage: Bacteria; Pseudomonadati; Nitrospirota; Nitrospiria; Nitrospirales; Nitrospiraceae. The record is from RNAcentral.